RNAcentral lists this ribosomal RNA (406 nucleotides) under uncultured bacterium. RNAcentral describes it as "partial 16S ribosomal RNA". It matches the Rfam family "Bacterial small subunit ribosomal RNA", at positions 29 to 526 of the family's 1533-position model. The record is from RNAcentral.
AGUGAACGCUGGCGGUAGGCCUAACACAUGCAAGUCGAACGAGUGGCGGACGGGUGAGGAAUGCAUGGGAAUCUACUCUGUCGGGGGGGAUAACUAAGGGAAACUUACGCUAAUACCGCAUACGAUCACAUGAGCCGAGAUGGGAUUAGCUAGUUGGCGGGGUAAAGGCCCACCAAGGCGACGAUCCCUAGCUGGUCUGAGAGGAUGAUCAGCCACACUGGAACUGAGACACGGUCCAGACUCCUACGGGAGGCAGCAGUGGGGAAUAUUGGACAAUGGGCGCAAGCCUGAUGCAGCCAUGCCGCGUGGAUGAAGAAGGCCUUCGGGUUGUAAAGCCCUUUUGUUGGGAAAGCGGUACCCAAAGAAUAAGCACCGGCUAACUUCGUGCCAGCAGCCGCGGUAAUUC